RNAcentral lists this small RNA (85 nucleotides) under Flavobacterium sp. 1. RNAcentral describes it as "Flavo-1 RNA". It matches the Rfam family "Flavo-1 RNA". Lineage: Bacteria; Pseudomonadati; Bacteroidota; Flavobacteriia; Flavobacteriales; Flavobacteriaceae. The record is from RNAcentral.
GAUUUGCAUGAGAGAUCGAAGCGACAUCCUUUUCUUUUCCUUACUUUUAGGAAAAGAAAAGAUACAGCGGAGAGCCCGACCCUUG